Molecule: transfer RNA, 79 nt
Filed under: Podarcis lilfordi (Lilford's wall lizard)
Lineage: Eukaryota; Metazoa; Chordata; Lepidosauria; Squamata; Lacertidae
Description: tRNA.Gln
Rfam family: tRNA (bases 12-68)
About the family: Transfer RNA (tRNA) molecules are approximately 80 nucleotides in length. Their secondary structure includes four short double-helical elements and three loops (D, anti-codon, and T loops). Further hydrogen bonds mediate the characteristic L-shaped molecular structure. tRNAs have two regions of fundamental functional importance: the anti-codon, which is responsible for specific mRNA codon recognition, and the 3' end, to which the tRNAs corresponding amino acid is attached (by aminoacyl-tRNA synthetases). tRNAs cope with the degeneracy of the genetic code in two manners: having more than one tRNA (with a specific anti-codon) for a particular amino acid; and 'wobble' base-pairing, i.e. permitting non-standard base-pairing at the 3rd anti-codon position.
Source: RNAcentral
UAAAGAAGAACAGCUCAGUGAGUAGAGCAUGAGGCUCUGAAUCUCAGGUUUGUGGGUUUGAGCCCCACAUUGGGCAAAA